This 800-nucleotide ribosomal RNA is filed under the name bacterium. Its description in RNAcentral is "bacterial SSU rRNA". It matches the Rfam family "Bacterial small subunit ribosomal RNA", at positions 115 to 912 of the family's 1533-position model. The record is from RNAcentral.
AUAUCGGAACGUACCCAAGAGUGGGGGAUAACGUAGCGAAAGUUACGCUAAUACCGCAUACGAUCUAAGGAUGAAAGCAGGGGAUCUUCGGACCUUGUGCUCCUGGAGCGGCCGAUAUCUGAUUAGCUAGUUGGUGAGGUAAAGGCUCACCAAGGCCACGAUCAGUAGCUGGUCUGAGAGGACGACCAGCCACACUGGAACUGAGACACGGUCCAGACUCCUACGGGAGGCAGCAGUGGGGAAUUUUGGACAAUGGGCGAAAGCCUGAUCCAGCAAUGCCGCGUGAGUGAAGAAGGCCUUCGGGUUGUAAAGCUCUUUUGUCAGGGAAGAAACGGUUUGGGCUAAUAUCCUGAGCUAAUGACGGUACCUGAAGAAUAAGCACCGGCUAACUACGUGCCAGCAGCCGCGGUAAUACGUAGGGUGCAAGCGUUAAUCGGAAUUACUGGGCGUAAAGCGUGCGCAGGCGGUUUUGUAAGUCUGACGUGAAAUCCCCGGGCUCAACCUGGGAAUUGCGUUGGAGACUGCAAGGCUAGAAUCUGGCAGAGGGGGGUAGAAUUCCACGUGUAGCAGUGAAAUGCGUAGAGAUGUGGAGGAACACCGAUGGCGAAGGCAGCCCCCUGGGUCAAGAUUGACGCUCAUGCACGAAAGCGUGGGGAGCAAACAGGAUUAGAUACCCUGGUAGUCCACGCCCUAAACGAUGUCUACUAGUUGUCGGGUUUUAAUUAACUUGGUAACGCAGCUAACGCGUGAAGUAGACCGCCUGGGGAGUACGGUCGCAAGAUUAAAACUCAAAGGAAUUG